RNAcentral lists this ribosomal RNA (700 nucleotides) under uncultured bacterium. RNAcentral describes it as "bacterial SSU rRNA". It matches the Rfam family "Bacterial small subunit ribosomal RNA", at positions 791 to 1500 of the family's 1533-position model. The record is from RNAcentral.
UAGUCCACGCAGUAAACGAUGAAUGCUGGUUGUCCUUUGGGCUGUCCCCUGGGCGGCGAAGCGAAAGCGAUAAGCAUUCCACCUGGGGAGUACGCCGGCAACGGUGAAACUCAAAGGAAUUGACGGGGGCCCGCACAAGCGGAGGAACAUGUGGUUUAAUUCGAUGAUACGCGAGGAACCUUACCCGGGCUCAAACGGGAGCGGGACCGGCCGGAGACGGCCGGGUCUACGGACUGCUUCCGAGGUGCUGCAUGGUUGUCGUCAGCUCGUGUCGUGAGAUGUUGGGUUAAGUCCCGCAACGAGCGCAGCCCUUAUUGUUAGUUGCUACGCAAGAGCACUCUAGCGAGACUGCCGUUGACAAAACGGAGGAAGGUGGGGACGACGUCAAAUCAUCAUGCCCCUUAUGUCCUGGGCCACACACGUACUACAAUGGUGGUCAACAGAGGGAAGCAAUACCGCGAGGUGGAGCAAAUCCCUAAAAGCCAUCCCAGUUCGGAUCGCAGGCUGCAACCCGCCUGCGUGAAGUUGGAAUCGCUAGUAAUCGCGGAUCAGCAUGCCGCGGUGAAUACGUUCCCGGGCCUUGUACACACCGCCCGUCACACCAUGAGAGUCGGGAACACCCGAAGUCCGUAGCCUAACUGCAAAGGGGGCGCGGCCGAAGGUGGGUUCGAUAAUUGGGGUGAAGUCGUAACAAGGUAAC